This 459-nucleotide ribosomal RNA is filed under the name uncultured bacterium. RNAcentral's name for it is "partial 16S ribosomal RNA". It matches the Rfam family "Bacterial small subunit ribosomal RNA", at positions 338 to 795 of the family's 1533-position model. The record is from RNAcentral.
CCUACGGGGGGCUGCAGUGAGGAAUAUUGGUCAAUGGACGCAAGUCUGAACCAGCCAUGCCGCGUGCAGGAAGACGGCUCUAUGAGUGGUAAACUGCUUUUGUACGAGGGUAAACGCAGAUACGCGAAUCUGUCUGAAAGUAUCGUACGAAUACGGAUCGGCUAACUCCGGGCAAGCAGCCGCGGUAAUCCGGAGGAUUCAAGGGUUAUCCGGUUUUAUUGGGUUUAAGGGGUGCGCAGGCGGAUUUUUAAGUUAGCGGUAAAAUCGUGGGGCUCAACCCCAUCCAGCCGUUGAAACUGGGGAUCUAGAGUGUGCGAGAGGUAUGCGGAAUGCGUGGUGUAGCGGUGAAAUGCAUAGAUAUCACGCAGAACCCCGAUUGCGAAGGCAGCAUACCGGUGCACAACUGACGCUCAGGCACGAAAGCGUGGGUAUCGAACAGGAUUAGAUACCCGAGUAGUC